UUUGUGGGGUGCUCGAGUGGCGAACGGGUGAGUAACACGUGAGUAACCUGCCCUUGACUUUGGGAUAACUUCAGGAAACUGGGGCUAAUACCGGAUAGGAGCUCCUGCUGCAUGGUGGGGGUUGGAAAGUUUCGGCGGUUGGGAUGGACUCGCGGCCUAUCAGCUUGUUGGUGGGGUAAUGGCCUACCAAGGCGGCGACGGGUAGCCGGCCUGAGAGGGUGUACGGCCACAUUGGGACUGAGAUACGGCCCAG
This 253-nucleotide ribosomal RNA is filed under the name uncultured Actinomycetales bacterium. RNAcentral's name for it is "partial 16S ribosomal RNA". It matches the Rfam family "Bacterial small subunit ribosomal RNA", at positions 79 to 334 of the family's 1533-position model. The record is from RNAcentral. Lineage: Bacteria; Bacillati; Actinomycetota; Actinomycetes; Actinomycetales.